Molecule: small RNA, 79 nt
Filed under: Sinorhizobium meliloti 2011
Lineage: Bacteria; Pseudomonadati; Pseudomonadota; Alphaproteobacteria; Hyphomicrobiales; Rhizobiaceae
Description: putative ncRNA
Source: RNAcentral
CGGACAAAAGAACCCCUGUCGGACGUUCUGAAUAGGGAACAAGCGUUCGUUGAAGCACGACAAGGUUGAACUGAAGUGC